Molecule: long non-coding RNA, 188 nt
Organism: Pseudopipra pipra
Lineage: Eukaryota; Metazoa; Chordata; Aves; Passeriformes; Pipridae
Exons: 3
Source: RefSeq, a predicted model, not a curated record
CCAAUCUGGGUAAUAAAAGAACGUGGAUGUAUGGAGAUAAGAUUCGAUCUCCAUCGAGUGAAGAGGUCUGAGCCCCCCGUGGCUGACCAGGUGGAGCUGAUGCGCCAGUGACGCUCGGCUGCCUCUCUGCAUGUCCAGGUGAGAAAUAUGGGAGGCUCCUCAGCCCCCCAAAGGAGCCUGGCAGGGCC